UGCUUGUCUCAAAGAUUAAGCCAUGCAUGUCUAAGUAUAAGUUUUUCUACUGCGAAACUGUGAAUGGCUCAUAUAACAGUUUAUUAUUUCCUAGCCGUUCAGUUAUUCCUUGGAUACCCAUGGUAAUUCUAGAGCUAAUACUGCUUACAGACCCAACUUCACGGAAGGGUUGCGCUUAUAUAGAUACCGAACCAACCCCGCAAGGGAUUUAGUUGAUUCAUAGUGGUCUGGCGAAUCGACUUUUUAGUCGAUGAGGCUAUCAAGUUUCUGACCUAUCAGCUUCCGACGGUAGUGUAUGGCUACCGUGGCUUUGACGGGUAACGAGAUUAGGGUUCGAUUCCGGAGAGGGAGCCUGAGAAACGGCUACCACAUCUAAGGAAGGCAGCAGGCCGCGUAAAUUACCCAAUCCUGACACAGGGAGGUAGUGACAAGAAAUAUCAAUAUAGACUUUUGUGUCUUGUAAUUGGGAUGAGCGGAACUUAAAAUCGCUUCUCGAGUAUCAAUUGGAGGGCAAGUCUGGUGCCAGCAGCCGCGGUAAUUCAGCUCCAAUAGCGUAUAUUAAAAUUGUUGCGGUUAAAACGCUCGUAGUUGGAUAUCUGUGUGAGCGGGUUCCGGUCCUUCCCAGUGAAGAUUACACGGAACUCUGCUCGCCAUAUUGUUCAGGGAGGGUGGAUGCACUUCACUGUGUGACCACGAUGAUCUGAAUUUUACUUUGAGGAAAUGAGAGUGUUCCAAGCAGGCAAUUGCCGUGAAUAUGAUAGCAUGGAAUAAUAGCACAGGACUCUUGGUUCAAUGCUGUUGGUUUGUUGAACUAGAGUAAUCACAAUAAGGAUGAGUUGGGGGUAUUCGUAUUUAACUGUCAGAGGUGAAAUUCUUGGAUUUUUAAAGACGAACAAUUGCGAAGGCGAUCUACCCAGGAUGUUUUGUUGAUCAAGAACGAAAGUUAGGGGAUUCGAAGACGAUCAGAUACCGUCCUAGUCUUAACCUUAAACUAUGCCGGCUGGAGAUUGGAGUCGUCAGAUUUUUGACGUCUUCAGCAUCCUAUGAGAAAUCUAAGUCUUUGGGUUCCGGGGGAGUAUGGUCGCAAGGCUGAAACUUAAAGGAAUUGACGGAAGGGCACCACCAGGAGUGGAGCCUGCGGCUUAAUUUUGACUCAACACGGGAAAACUCACCAGGUCCAGACAUAGAUAGGAUUGACAGACUGAUAGCUCUUUCUUAAUUCUAUGGGUGGUGGUGCAUUGGCACGUUCUUAGUUGGUGGAGUGAUUUGUCUGGUUAAUUCCGUUAACGAACGAGGACCUUAACCUGCUAAAUAGUUUCCUGAACCUCGGUUCAUCGGUUUACUUCUUAGAGGGACUUCGUGUGUUUAAACGCGAGGAAGUUUGAGCAAUAACAUGUCUGUGAUGCCCUUAGAUGUCCUGGGCUGCACGCGCGCUACACUGAUGUGUCCAGUAAGCACCUAACCUCUUCCGAAGGGAACGGGUAACCUUAGCAAAGCACAUCGUGAUGGGGAUGGAUUAUUGCAAUUAUUAGUCUUGAACGAGGAAUUCCUAGUAAGCACAAGUCAUCAGCUUGUGUUGAUUACGUCCCCUGCCCU
This 1596-nucleotide ribosomal RNA is filed under the name uncultured eukaryote. Its description in RNAcentral is "SSU rRNA". It matches the Rfam family "Eukaryotic small subunit ribosomal RNA", at positions 29 to 1659 of the family's 1831-position model. The record is from RNAcentral.